AAAAGCUCGUAGUUGGAUCUCAGCUCCGCCCGGACGGUCCGCCUACCGGUGGUUACUGUUCGCUGGCGAGCGUUCAGGCGGUUAUUCUUGAUGAUCUUCACCGGUUGUCUCGGGUGACCGCCAAGUUUACUUUGAAAAAAUUAGAGUGCUCAAAGCAGGCGCGACGCCUGAAUAAUUGUGCAUGGAAUAAUGGAAUAGGACCUCGGUUCUAUUUUGUUGGUUUUCGGAACACGAGGUAAUGAUUAAGAGGGACAGACGGGGGCAUUCGUAUUGCGACGCUAGAGGUGAAAUUCUUGGACCGUCGCAAGACGAACUACUGCGAAAGCAUUUGCCAAGAAUGUUUCCAUUAAUCAAGAACGAAAGUUAGAGGUUNGAAGGCGAUCAGAUACCGCCCUAGUUCUAACCAUAAACGAUGCCAGCCAGCGAUCCGGCUGUGUUCCUCAAAUGACACGCCGGGCAGCUUCCGGGAAACCAAAGCUUUUGGGUUCCGGGGGAAGUAUGGUUGCAAAGCUGAAACUUAAAGGAAUUGACGGAAGGGCACCACCAGAAAUGGAGCCUGCGGCUUAAUUUGACUCAACACGGGAAAACUUACCCGGCCCGGACACAGGAAGGAUUGACAGAUUAAGAGCUCUUUCUUGAUUCUGUGGGUGGUGGUGCAUGGCCGUUCUUAGUUGGUGGGGCGACUUGUCUGGUUAAUUCCGAUAACGAACGAGACUCU
This 718-nucleotide ribosomal RNA is filed under the name Gibbaranea gibbosa. Its description in RNAcentral is "SSU rRNA". It matches the Rfam family "Eukaryotic small subunit ribosomal RNA", at positions 622 to 1344 of the family's 1831-position model. Lineage: Eukaryota; Metazoa; Arthropoda; Arachnida; Araneae; Araneidae. The record is from RNAcentral.